RNAcentral lists this ribosomal RNA (95 nucleotides) under uncultured bacterium. Its description in RNAcentral is "partial 16S ribosomal RNA". It matches the Rfam family "Bacterial small subunit ribosomal RNA", at positions 400 to 508 of the family's 1533-position model. The record is from RNAcentral.
CGUGAGUGAUGAAGGACUUCGGUUCGUAAAGCUCUGUUGCAGGGGAAAAAUAAAGUGAUGGUACUCUGCAAGAAAGGGUCGGCUAACCUUCGCGC